GACAAGCGAGUGGGAUGAGUGUAACUUCUGGCUUGCAACACUCAAACGAAUGAUAAAGACAAGGCAGGCCCGGGUGUGAGAUCAAGUUAAACCCCAAAAUCAUCCAAAUACAGUGAACUCCACUUUGCGUUUUCGAUUUCACAGGUGUGGUAAUGCUCCUUCGGAAUUGAUUGUUUCUUUCUUCAGUGUACACUAAGAAUAUCUUUUCUAGAGUGCAAUUACAGGGUUUUGGAUCGUUGGCCUACAUCUCGCCUUCAAAAAUCUCAAGGGCAGUAAAUCACGUUAUGCAAGCAGUUAGCGAGGAUAGUUGUCAGGUCAUUAAAGAAACUGAAACUAGUUGCU
Molecule: unclassified non-coding RNA, 342 nt
Filed under: Hevea brasiliensis (rubber tree)
Lineage: Eukaryota; Viridiplantae; Streptophyta; Magnoliopsida; Malpighiales; Euphorbiaceae
Source: RNAcentral